AUGGAGCCACAUCACCCUCGGCGCGCUCCGACGGCCGCCAUGGAUCCCCCGUCCAGGCCGGCGAUGUCCCACUCCUCCGCCUUCCUCCUCCCCUCCUCCGCAACCCCAGCCGCCUCAGCGGACGCGUACGCGGUCGUCGUCCUCAACCAGCGCCUGCCCCGCUUCGCCCCUCUCCUCUGGGACCGCGCGCAGGUGCGGGUGUGCGCCGACGGGGGCGCUAAUCGCGUGUUCGACGGCAUGCCGGAGCUGCUCCCCGGCCACGACCCCGACGAUGUGCGCUCCAGAUACAAACCAGAUGUAAUCAAAGGGGAUAUGGAUUCAGUGCGACCAGAAGUGAAGGAAUAUUAUUCCAAUUUGGGUACCAAAAUAGCUGAUCAAUCACACGAUCAGGACACCACCGACUUGCACAAAUGUGUAGCAUUUAUCACUGACAAUUCUCCUGGCUCAGACAAAUCGAAUCUAUGCAUCCUUGUCCUCGGAGCACUAGGAGGUAGGUUUGAUCACGAGAUGGGAAACAUCAAUGUACUCCAUCUCUUCCCAAACAUUAAGAUCGUCCUCCUAUCAGAUGAUUGCCUGAUCUUUCUGCUCCCAAGAACGCACACUCACAACAUCCACAUUGAACGGUCAGUUGAGGGCCCCCACUGUGGGUUGAUUCCCGUUGGCGCACCUUCGACUAGCACCACGACCACCGGGCUCCGGUGGAAUUUAGAUAAUACUCAUAUGAGCUUCGGUGGAUUGAUUAGCACAUCGAACAUCGUUGAUGAGGACCAGGUUAUGGUCACUUCAGAUUCUGACCUGAUCUGGACAAUAUCGCUCCGGCACUGA
This 825-nucleotide ribosomal RNA is filed under the name Triticum aestivum (bread wheat). RNAcentral's name for it is "partial small subunit ribosomal RNA". The record is from RNAcentral. Lineage: Eukaryota; Viridiplantae; Streptophyta; Magnoliopsida; Poales; Poaceae.